This is a long non-coding RNA of Oncorhynchus kisutch (coho salmon), 2708 nucleotides long. RefSeq lists it as uncharacterized. The record is from RefSeq and is a predicted model, not a curated record. NCBI's taxonomy places the organism in Eukaryota, Metazoa, Chordata, Actinopteri, Salmoniformes, Salmonidae. The transcript has 2 exons.
UAGAAGCCUUGCCCUUGUGAGUUUAUAAUGAGGACUGAAACCCAGAGAAUUGAACGCUUAAGCAAAAAAUGAUGGUAUGACACUGAAAUGCCAUACUGAAGUUCAACACAGCCUUUAGGUUGAUGCUGUCAGUUGUCAUUUCUCAUCAGGACAUAAAUGUGUGUUCAAGUGUCAACGAUCGCUGUUAUACCUCCAAGGCUAUUGGUUCCAAAACUGGCCAACCUGAGAAAGACCUCAAGACCACCCAAUCAAUUCUGCAGGCUUGUUCAACUCUUUGUCAGUGCUCCCUGUCAGUUUGCUCCGCCAUCUUGGCUUUCAACAGAUGCAUUGCACCAGGUGUCUCCGCCAUGUUGGUUCUACGGGGGUACGUGAGACCAAUGUUCUUCACCAUCAGGACUCUCACUGGAUACUUUGAAGAGGCACUUGCCUUCAGUUGGGACUUGAUUCAUUGCUUCAAGGAAGUGCUCUUCUCUCAGCAGUUCCUCCUAAAGAAAACACUCCUGUUUCUGUCCCAGUUGGCUCUUUGCAUCUUUACCUGACCACUUUGUCUUGAAUGAAUAUCGUUUUAAUGACUUUUUCUCCAGUAAAGUAACUUGAGUAAUGCUUUUCUUAUAACAUCCUUAAGGAACUGUGCAUCCUAGGACAAUUGCUUCAACUUCCCUUCAAGUGUUUAUUGUAUUUUCAACUGGCAAUAACUAUUAAAAUGUUUCCUUAACUCUUAGUUAAAUCAUUGUCCAACUACAUAUUUGGAAAUCUUGGCAAGUUACAGUAUCUGUCAUAAUGGCAAUUUUAUGGAUGAGAUAGGGACAUUGAUCCAUAAGCAUUAUUGAGUACUUAAUCCUACUGUACACUGUCAAAACCCAUUUUAAAAAGACAGUGAAAGUAGAGUACUAGACACUAUUGUAACCGUCAUAAAUAGUGCCCCACAAGUUUCCAACAGAUGUUCCAGGGGCUGAGUGUUAGUGCAGUGGCCUUGUCCAUACUUUGAGUCUGAGCCUGUCAAAGGCCUGCAUUUUUCAGAGUUACUAAAGCACCUCCAGUGUAAAACUUGGUCUUUGCUAGGAUCUUUCAACGUAGGCAGAUACAAAGGGCUCAGUAAAUGUAAUACAAUGAUAACACAGUUGCAAAGACAGGUAACUCUUUACUUGGGGAAACCCCCUUUUCAGGUAAUUAAGGCCUGAUUGCAAGAUCUUUAGGUGAAAUACAAAUAAGCAAAGAACCUGUCUCGUUUUGUCAGUGACCCUUUUGCAUUCAAACCAGCAUACCACUUUACUCCUUGGCUUAUAACGACACAUUUGGGAGAGCCCACAGCUGACAUGUUAGGUUAUAAAACAGCUACAUAGUCAAACAGGCGUACUGCAUUGCUCUGUAGGUGUCUUGUAGGCAGAGCACUUACAAACCCCUAUCAACAGCAUCUCUAACACCACACCUUUGUUUACUCAAAGCAAAAUGAACAUAGCAUGGUGUUUUGUUGAUAGCAUAACCCACAGUACAGAGACCUCUUGAACAUAAGUUGCUGUAUACAAAAACAUUAAAUUUUAAAGAAAACCAUGGUCCCAAUAUUGCAAUCAAAUUGGUAUGGUGGCAGGGCAUGGGUCGACAAAACCUUGGUGCAGAUUACGCUCAUCAGCAACUCCAUUUCUCUUGUAAAAAGAGUUGAGUUAUUGUAAAACAGAGACCCAAACUGAGCCCGGGUAACAAAGCAACAAAAAAAAAAAUGGGCCAACAAGAACAGAAGAGUUGAAUAUUGCUAAACUGUCAUCAAGUCACAAUGCUAGUAACAUAUGCCUACAGAGUAAUAAAUGUUGCUGGACGCAUGAUUAUGCCAGGACAGUCAAUUAUUCAGACGACCAACUUGGUUUAAGCAAGAGUUUAACCCUCCUGUCUGUCAAAACACAAUGAGUGAAUUAUUGUCAAGUUGCUUUUGUAACCUAACCAAUGAUUCAAAACAAAUAGGUGCACAGUAUUGAACACAAGCAAGUCUGUAGCAAGUUUCAUAUUGCCCUUAACACCUUCAAAACUUGCAUAGGAGACAAAUUCUAUUGAUUUGUCAUGGUAUUUUUGAGUAUAACAAUGGAGAGUUCUCAAUAGUCUCUGGAACAGGUCAGUAGACUAAAGCAUGACUUAUGACACCUUCUAGGAAGCACUUCAGAUGUAGUCAGGCCUAUAGCUCAAACAUUUAAAGCACCCAUGCUUUAAAUCAAUCACUGAUUUAUUAGACAAUGUACUUAAUGAAAAUCACAUUUAUCAUUUACGUCCCUGAGCCUCCAUUGGCCCUUGAAAUGCUAAGUCUGAUCGAGUGGGCAUUUAUAUAUCUGAUUGGCUGGUCUAGAGCCCACCCCUUAAACAGUAAUUGCUCUAUUAUCAAUCAGAUCAUGAUGUGGGUAAAAGGUUCCAGCUCACCUACAAGCUGAAAUUCCAGGCAUUAUUUCCCAAAAAGGGUGUUUUCAUUUUCACAAUGUGUCAUUUCUACCUGUGUUAAAAAACAUUUAAAAAAAGAAGGAUAUGUGACUUAACUGCACUGCCCCUUUAAUAAUUUACUCAACACACACAAGCGUAACAGAAACAUUUCAAACGACAGAUGUUUCGAGCUGCCAAAGAAAACAGAUCAGACCAAAUUAUUGCACCAAUGAAACACCAAAAUAACCAGUAACUUCAGUAAGAUUUUCAUGUGCAGACUCUUGACAACAGCUGAAUUAAAUGUAAAA